GGGGAAUAUUGCACAAUGGGCGGAAGCCUGAUGCAGCGACGCCGCGUGGGGGAUGACGGCCUUCGGGUUGUAAACCUCUUUCAGUGCAGAACAAGGCUCUUUGUGGGUUGAGGGUAUGCGCAGAAGAAGCGCCGGCUAACUACGUGCCAGCAGCCGCGGUAAUACGUAGGGCGCGAGCGUUGUCCGGAUUUAUUGGGCGUAAAGAGCUCGUAGGCGGUUUGUCGCGUCUGCUGUGAAAUCCUCUGGCUUAACUGGGGGCGUGCAGUGGGUACGGGCAGACUGGAGUGCGGUAGGGGAGACUGGAAUUCCUGGUGUAGCGGUGGAAUGCGCAGAUAUCAGGAGGAACACCGGUGGCGAAGGCGGGUCUCUGGGCCGUUACUGACGCUGAGGAGCGAAAGCAUGGGGAGCGAAC
RNAcentral lists this ribosomal RNA (412 nucleotides) under uncultured bacterium. RNAcentral's name for it is "bacterial SSU rRNA". It matches the Rfam family "Bacterial small subunit ribosomal RNA", at positions 356 to 773 of the family's 1533-position model. The record is from RNAcentral.